Molecule: long non-coding RNA, 2323 nt
Organism: Athene cunicularia (burrowing owl)
Lineage: Eukaryota; Metazoa; Chordata; Aves; Strigiformes; Strigidae
Exons: 3
Source: RefSeq, a predicted model, not a curated record
UGAAUUCUGGGGUUACUCUUCUGCUGUUGCAUGUCUUGUAGAUCUAGAUCUACCUCUUGAGGUAAUCUGUCAAUUAUCUAGGCCCCAAAGUAGGUAAAAAUUAUAGCACAACCUUGGAAGUAGAGAAAUGAAAGUCCCUAAAUAUGAUCAAGUCCACAGCUGUAGUGUUACGUAUUGGCAAAAUCUUGAUUUUCACAGAAAUUGUAGCUAGAAGUGCGUUUCUGUGGAUGGGUGGUUAAAGUGAUUAAGGCUUUUAAACUUACGCUCUUGUGUUGCUGUUGCUUGUCAGGACGUAGUUCUGUAUAAUUUUGAAAUCAUCUAUUCACUUCUCCUGCACAGGGGUUUUGCAGCAGAUUUAGUGAACCAUGUCGUAAGUUUUAUUUACGUUUAUUUUCCUGGGUUUUCUUUACAAAACAAGUGUUAGCCAUGACAACAUACUAAGGAAUUAAACCUGCUGAAACUUACUGCAUUCCUCAUGCUAUUAAGGAACUCUAGGAUUAGUCUGGCUGCUGUCUUGAGUGUUUAAUUAAGGACGAUUUUUGUGUUGUUAGUUCCUGAAGAUAAUGAAAUGUUUUCAAGUUAACUGUUUCAUAUUGUGAACAGUCAUCGUGUUUCUUUAAAAAGCUUCUGUGCAGACUAAAGCAUCUCCUGCUAUUAAGUGGAAACAUUAACUCUGUGUAAGUGAAAUUAAUAACUGAAUUAAGAGGGGAAUCUAUCUUUUUAGCUGAAACACCCCAGGAACUUCCCAGAGAUGCUCUGGGAAUGCUGUGCCCUUUUCCAGCAGUCUCCCUGAUUUAAGGGAUGAUGUAUUGCCAGAACAAUUUGUGUGAGUCAAGAUUGCACGAUAAAGCUUUAACUUUUAUUUUACGGUAUAUUUUAGAAAACCACAUCACUAAAAUUAUGGCCUUUUGCAUUAAAAUUCAUGUUAACUAUAAUUUCAACCCAAUUCUUACAUAGAUUCUGGGGGAAACGUUGUCUCUUGAUACCAAUAACCCUGAUAAGCUUGUCUGAAGCUUUUUUUUUUUUUUUUUUUUUUCUAGAGAGAGAUGUUGCUAGGGAAAUCUUCGUGCAUGGGCAAAUGUGGUUAGAAAUAUUAAUGUCCUGCCAGUUUUACCUCCUAUCUUAGCUCUAUUCAUCAGCGUGAUCUGCAAGAGAAAGGCAAAACCAUUUUGGACUGAAUAAUCUAGCACGGUUUUAGCACUGCCAGCGUGCAAGCUGGAGACCAGCGUGGAAUCUGCUCAUGAUAAGCUCUCGUUUCAGAGUUAAACUGGUUCAGGCUUGUUCCUAUCUUUGUGUGCAAAGGGUCCGAGGGGAGAGACGUACAGAAGGAAAACGGAAAGAAAAACAUGAAGAAAAUAAUCGGGUUCUGUGAACGCCAUCUCCCAUGUCUACAGAGAGCAAGAACCCCUGAAGGGUUUUUACACUUUGAACUUUUAACAUUCAGUGUGGACCACUGUUUCCAGGGCAGGACUGUCAGGCAAGGAAAGAAAGACUUUGAUUCUGUUCUGGUGUUUAACAGCUUAACUUAACUACCCUCCAUUUUACAGAAUGUUGAUUUGAAUAAUGAAACAAGGCAUUAUGAGCAAUACAUGAAAACAGUUUGGAUGUGCCAGGGGAAUAACAAGGGCUAAGAGUGCAUAAAGCGAACAGAAUCUUGCCUUUGUGUUGCCUCAUAACUGAGUGAAGAGGAAAUCCAGCUUGCUUUUUAACAGGAAGGGGACCAGGAUUUCAGUACUCUUACUAGUUAUAUAGCUUGAUUUUCUAAGUACUUCCACUUUACUCAGUCUUUACAGAACUCUAUUCUUUUGAAGUAUUCAAAAUAUUCUGAUCCUGAACCCUUUGCUCAGUUUCAGGUUUCUGUAAAACGUAAGAAAGUAUCUCCACUUUCCUGGCUUACCUCUUUGAAGAAAACUAAAAAUAUUAUUUCUCUUCUGAGGGACUUCUCAUUACCUAAAAGCCACAUGAAUCAAUGGAGAAAUAACCGUUCUCUGAGGCAAGACUCAUCACUAACGGGAGAGAAGAAUCUGAAGAGCUCGCUCCAAGCCCAACCCACCCCUACCUAAAUUGCACCCACUGCAGGACCUUGGCUUGGCUCUCAGUCUCAUGUUGUAGUCAUGGGUCUGACUUGGGCAGUCCCACAGUUCAAGGAGCUGCUGCUGCUGCUGCACUGUCUGUGGAGCAGAGAAUUUGUCUAGAUCUGUAUGCUGAUAGAGCUGUGAGUGACCUAGAACUACACAUCCUGCCGCAUGGAUUCCCCAAAAAUAAGGUAACUUUUUAACUAGGUGCUGCUCUCCCCGCUGGCCAUGCUACGUGAGUACCUUGA